AACUUUUGACAAUGGAUCUCUUGGUUCUCGCAUCGAUGAAGAACGCAGCGAAAUGCGAUAAGUAGUGUGAAUUGCAGAAUUCAGUAAAUCAUCGAAUCUUUGAACGCACAUUGCGCCUCCCGGCAUUCCGGGAGGCAUGCCUGUCCGAGCACUAACACGAAAUGCAGUGAGGCCGUCAUAUGGCCUCGUGGUGGGGGAUGAGUGGCGUGCCGUCCGGCUCGCUCUCACCCCUGAAAGCAAAUGGUGGAAUGCACUGAAUGCCCCGGCGUGAUAACAACGUUUCGCUAGGCGUCUCGGUCGCACUCCCUCCGCAAAAGCGAGACAAAACUUUGAUCUCGGAUCAGGUAGGGAUACCCGCUGAACUUAAGCAUAUCAAUAAGCGGAGGCU
RNAcentral lists this unclassified non-coding RNA (388 nucleotides) under uncultured Pyronemataceae. Its description in RNAcentral is "sequence contains ITS2". The stretch from base 1 to 154 matches the Rfam family "5.8S ribosomal RNA". The record is from RNAcentral. Lineage: Eukaryota; Fungi; Ascomycota; Pezizomycetes; Pezizales; Pyronemataceae.